This 426-nucleotide ribosomal RNA is filed under the name uncultured Actinomycetes bacterium. RNAcentral's name for it is "bacterial SSU rRNA". It matches the Rfam family "Bacterial small subunit ribosomal RNA", at positions 233 to 671 of the family's 1533-position model. Lineage: Bacteria; Bacillati; Actinomycetota; Actinomycetes. The record is from RNAcentral.
GCGGCCUAUCAGCUUGUUGGUGAGGUAAUGGCUCACCAAGGCGACGACGGGUAGCCGGCCUGAGAGGGCGACCGGCCACACUGGGACUGAGACACGGCCCAGACUCCUACGGGAGGCAGCAGUGGGGAAUCUUGCGCAAUGGGCGAAAGCCUGACCCAGCGACGCCGCGUGCGGGAUGAAGGCCUUCGGGUUGUAAACCGCUUUCAGUAGGGAAGAAGCGAAAGUGACGGUACCUAAAGAAGAAGCACCGGCUAACUAUGUGCCAGCAGCCGCGGUAAUACAUAGGGUGCAAGCGUUGUCCGGAAUUAUUGGGCGUAAAGAGCUCGUAGGUCGUUUGUCGCGUCGAUUGUGAAAAUCUGAGGCUCAACCUCAGACCUGCAGUCGAUACGGGCAAACUAGAGUGUGGUAGGGGAGACUGGAAUUCCU